GGGAAAAGAGAGAGGCCAAUUGCUAUCGGAGUCCGAUUUAGCCAUGCUAGUUGCACGAGUUCAGACUCGUAGCAUAUAGCUCAGUAACACGUGGCCAAACUACCCUACAGACCGCAAUAACCUCGGGAAACUGAGGCCAAUAGCGGAUAUAACUCUCAUGCUGGAGUGCCGAGAGUUAGAAAUGUUCCGGCGCUGUAGGAUGUGGCUGCGGCCGAUUAGGUAGAUGGUGGGGUAACGGCCCACCAUGCCGAUAAUCGGUACAGGUUGUGAGAGCAAGAGCCUGGAGACGGUAUCUGAGACAAGAUACCGGGCCCUACGGGGCGCAGCAGGCGCGAAACCUUUACACUGCACGACAGUGCGAUAGGGGGACUCCGAGUGUGAGGGCAUAUAGCCCUCGCUUUUCUGAACCGUAAGGUGGUUCAGGAACAAGGACUGGGCAAGACCGGUGCCAGCCGCCGCGGUAAUACCGGCAGUCCAAGUGAUGGCCGAUAUUAUUGGGCCUAAAGCGUCCGUAGCUUGCUGUGUAAGUCCAUUGGGAAAUCGACCAGCUCAACUGGUCGGCGUCCGGUGGAAACUACACAGCUUGGGGCCGAGAGACUCAACGGGUACGUCCGGGGUAGGAGUGAAAUCCUGUAAUCCUGGACGGACCACCAAUGGGGAAACCACGUUGAGAGACCGGACCCGACAGUGAGGGACGAAAGCCAGGGUCUCGAACCGGAUUAGAUACCCGGGUAGUCCUGGCUGUAAACAAUGCUCGCUAGGUAUGUCACGCGCCAUGAGCACGUGAUGUGCCGUAGUGAAGACGAUAGCGAGCCGCCUGGAAGUACGUCCGCAAGGAUGAACUUAAAGGAAUUGGC
RNAcentral lists this ribosomal RNA (857 nucleotides) under Haloarcula sp. SP2(2). RNAcentral describes it as "bacterial SSU rRNA". It matches the Rfam family "Archaeal small subunit ribosomal RNA", at positions 1 to 869 of the family's 1478-position model. The record is from RNAcentral. Lineage: Archaea; Methanobacteriati; Methanobacteriota; Halobacteria; Halobacteriales; Haloarculaceae.